UAACCUGCCCAAGAGAUCGGGAUAACACCUGGAAACAGAUGCUAAUACCGGAUAACAACAGAUGAUGCCUAUCAACUGUUUAAAAGAUGGUUCUGCUAUCACUCUUGGAUGGACCUGCGGUGCAUUAGCUAGUUGGUAGGGUAACGGCCUACCAAGGCGAUGAUGCAUAGCCGAGUUGAGAGACUGAUCGGCCACACUGGGACUGAGACACGGCCCAAACUCCUACGGGAGGCAGCAGGG
RNAcentral lists this ribosomal RNA (240 nucleotides) under uncultured Lactobacillus sp. Its description in RNAcentral is "partial 16S ribosomal RNA". It matches the Rfam family "Bacterial small subunit ribosomal RNA", at positions 122 to 354 of the family's 1533-position model. Lineage: Bacteria; Bacillati; Bacillota; Bacilli; Lactobacillales; Lactobacillaceae. The record is from RNAcentral.